Molecule: ribosomal RNA, 3725 nt
Filed under: Distigma proteus
Lineage: Eukaryota; Euglenozoa; Anisonemea; Natomonadida; Distigmidae
Description: SSU rRNA
Rfam family: Eukaryotic small subunit ribosomal RNA
Source: RNAcentral
AAUCUGGUUGAUCCUGCCAGCGUGAUAUGCUUCUUUCAAGGACUAAUCCAUGCAAGUGUUCGUUUACACGGACACGACGUGUCUCCUGAGAUGCUGCCGUGAAAGCCUAGUGAAUCUGUAUAUGGCUCAUUACACCAGUGAUAAUCUACUCGGAAAAUGCUCGAACGCUUCCUUUUUGCUGUCGUCGUGUGAGAAAAAAGAUACGUAAGGCGAGGAGAGAUUCGGCUACCUCCCUUCGUAUCUACAAAGACAUGUACGGGUUGUGGGUUGCCUUUUGAAGCUCAGAAACGGGAGUCACCGAGAUCGGGUGGUCAUCCCUCUGAAACAGAUGGCUAAUACAUGUUGCGAAAAAUCCAUUCUCUUGAAACGGAGGAGAAUUAAAGGAUUUUGGUUGUGGUCUCUUGCGGUGGAAUGUUCUUUCGUAUGCCUUUCUUUGAUCAAAAGGCAUAGAGUUAUAUCCAUCGGCUUUUUCUCUGCAAAGAAAAAACCUUCCUCGACGCGGAAUGUAUCGAGAUUGAUGGAUGUGGUAGGCUGAAACAAAGACCGACGUCUUUCCCCCCCUUUUCCCAGAAUCCCCCCCUCUCUCUCUCUUGAGAGGAGGAGGAAGGGGGAGGGGAGGGAGCGAAAAAGACAGAGGUGUGGUUGUGGUGUUGCGUUGAUUCAGGCCUACCCCCAAACAAAUACCGUUCCCUUUCUCUCUUCUCUUGAGGGAGAGAGCGGUGAUUUCGUUUGGUGGAGAUUUCGGCUACGGCUGAAAUCGAGAGUUCUCACAGCGGCGAAGCAAAACAGCGAAGUUCGACACGUUCUCGUAGCAUUUGAGAGGAAUGCACGAGUGGGUAGUGGUGCGUUAUCCUUGUGAUUGGCCAUUUUCGAUCCCCCCACUCUAAAAUGCCCCUUCUCCCUCUCGGUGGGGAGUUGGGAAACAAAGAGAGCGCUAUGGGGGUAUGCGCCUAGCUGUACGAGUUUCUGUCCUAUCAGCCAUGAAUUGGGAUGGCGGGGAUUGAAAUGGCAAUCACAGGUAACGGGGAAUUGGGGUUUGAUUCCGGAGAAGAAGCCUGAAACAUGGCUUCUACAGCUAAGGCUGGCAGCAGGAGCGAAAAUUGCCCACUACUGAUCACAGUGAGGCAGCGAAGAAGAGUAUCAUCUCCAUUGGAGAAUUUCACUUCAGUGGUGCAUGGCAUGUAUGCUUUCGUAAACAAAGCAGUGAGUAUCAACUGGAGGGCAAGCCUGGUGCCAGCAGCCGCGGUAAUUCCAGCUCCAGUGGCGUAUGCUGAUGUUGUUGAUGUUAAAAAGCUCGUAGUCGAUUGCAUUUUACCUCAGCGGGGGAACGGUUGGCGUUGUGGGGGUGGUCCAAAUAAGAANGGGUUUCUCUCCCUCUUCCUUACAUCCUUGCAGCGUUGAUGCGGUUCCCCUUGCUUUUGGUAAAGAACCAUGUAGUGGAAGCGAUUUUCCUGACUCUCAAUAAGAGAGGAGCGAGGGAAAGAAAGGGGAUCUUUCCUCCGACUUUCCUUCCUUCUUCUCUCUUUUUGUUUGAUUGUUGCGCAUAUCAGUGAGAUUCUCUAUUCUCGCAAGUGCCUCGUGCAGAACGGAACGUCCAAAGCUUUUGUUACCAUGACUAAACCAGAGCGCUAAAAGCAUCCCGAUUCGUCGAGGUUGCAUCGUCGGAAGUGUGGAAUAACAAGGGAUCAUCCAAAGUCACACGGAAGGAGGGAGCUGCUUCUUCCUCCUUCCCGAACAUGUUUCUGUCGGUGUUUGAUUUGUGAUUUGGCGAAAGAUAGGGAGUUGAGUUGUCUGCGGUCGGGGAGUUUGGAGGAAAUCGGAAAGGGGAGAAGCUUGAAAUCCCUUUUUCCUUUCCCCCUCCAUCUUCCUUUCCCUCUCAACUCUUCUCCCGCCUUCCAAGAAGGGAAGGGUUGGAAAAUGGAGGGAGGUAACUUCCGCGGGGGCCGGAGAAACGGCGUUCUCCCCCCUUCCUUACCUUUCUCUUUUUCUCUUGCCCUUCUCUUCGCGGGAGUUUCCAAAAGAACGUUGAGUCGUUCUUCUUAGCUUGUGUCAACUGAGAUCGUUAACGUUUGAGGUUCGUGAACCUUGUCGCGAGUGGUGAAAUACUUGGACCGACAUGUGUCAACCCAAGGCGAAAGCACGGACCGAACUCGGUCCUGCCGGUCAAGAACGAGAGUGUAGGGAUCAAAGAUGAUCAGAUACCGUCGUAGUCUACUGCUGUAAACGAUGCUUGCACGGUGCUGGUUGCCAAUUCCCUGUUGAUGCUCCCUUUCCCUUUGUCUUCUUCUUUCUCCCUCCGGGGAAAACGUUGGAGGCGGGGGAUUGUUCGUUGGAGUUCAACUCCCUAAGUGGGGCCUGUUUUCGGGGAGAUUCCUCUCUCUCUCCUUCUUCAGGUCUCGUCUUCAAACUUAGAUGGAAUUUUUUGCAACCAGUGCUACUCCCUAACCUCCGAGAAAUCCAAAGCUUAUGGGUUCAUGGGGGAGUAUAAUCUCAAGACCGAAACUUAAAGGAAUUGACGGGAUGGCACCACAAGGCGUGGAGUAUGCGGCUUAAUUUGACUCAACACGGGAAACGUUACCAGAUCAGCACAGUGCAAUGAUGGACAGGCUGCGAUUUCUUUCCUGAUUCUCUGAACAGUGGUGCAUGGCCGCUCCUGGUUGGUGGAGCGAUUUGUCUGGUUGAGUCCGGUAACGAGCGAGACCUCCGCUUCUUAUUGACAAUCAGUCUCAAACCCCCUUUUCUGCGUAGAGGAUGCUAGCGUGACGGAGGAAUCCGUCAGUCCCCCGUCAAACGGGGACAAGCGCUGGCCCUCGAGAGUUCUGUUAGCAAAGUUUUUUCGUUCUCUUUUCUUCGUCCCUCUCCGAAGGAAGAAACAAAAAACAAGAAAAAACAAAAAACGUAGGAGCGUUACCCGCAAUUGCUAGCCUCUUUACACAGCAGCAUUCGGUGCAAUUAACCUUGUUUUUUUUUGCUGGUUUUUUUUUUCCCCCACUCGUCGUCGUAGAAAGAUCGUCGUAGCAUGUGUGAACGCGAAACAAGGAUGAAUUUGCCCAUCCUUAGAAAAAAAAAAAGGAAGAGGAAGAUAGAUUUACCUUGCCUUUGCCCGAGGUAUUCUAUUCUCUCCUCUCCUUUUCGAUCCUGUUGAGUUUCUUUGCGUCUUAGAAGGUUCGAACACCAUGUGUUCUGUUGUAGUGUUACCACAUUCGGGAGUCGACAGCAGGUCUGUGAUGCCCUCAGAUGCUCUGGGCUGCACGCGCGCGACACUGAUAAGGGUAGUCCGUGCGUGGUGUGGUCCUGGUGGCCACAACGUUUCCUAUCUCCUUCCCUGCCCUUUUCCCUCCCUCCCGGGAGGAAAAGGGGGAGCCUGGGGCGGGGGCUCUGCGAAACGAUGCCUAGCUUGAGAAAGGAAAGAGAGAGAUCUCGGGAAAUCGUUCCCAACCCCUCUCGAGCUUGGAAUCGGUGAUUGUGCUUCGAAUUAUUUGCCUUGAACGUGGAAUGUCUAGUAAGCGCAAGUCAUCAGCUUGCACUGAUUGUGUCCCUGCCCUCUGUACACACCGCCCGUCGUUGCUACCGAUUAUGAAAUAAUAGAGACUUAUCGAGAUGAAAGCUGGAUCCCACUUCUCGGAGAGCGGGUGAAAGCUGGAAUUGAAGUCAGGCGAUGUUCUUUCAUUGGAGGAAGCAAAAGUCGUAACAAGGUUGCUGUAGGUGAACCUGCAGAAGGAUCA